Molecule: ribosomal RNA, 450 nt
Filed under: uncultured bacterium
Lineage: Bacteria
Description: bacterial SSU rRNA
Rfam family: Bacterial small subunit ribosomal RNA
Source: RNAcentral
GUGGGGAAUUUUGGACAAUGGGCGCAAGCCUGAUCCAGCAAUGCCGCGUGCAGGAAGAAGGCCUUCGGGUUGUAAACUGCUUUUGUACGGAACGAAACGGUCCGGGUUAAUACCCUGGGCUAAUGACGGUACCGUAAGAAUAAGCACCGGCUAACUACGUGCCAGCAGCCGCGGUAAUACGUAGGGUGCAAGCGUUAAUCGGAAUUACUGGGCGUAAAGCGUGCGCAGGCGGUUUUGUAAGACAGGCGUGAAAUCCCCGGGCUCAACCUGGGAAUUGCGCUUGUGACUGCAAGGCUGGAGUGCGGCAGAGGGGGAUGGAAUUCCGCGUGUAGCAGUGAAAUGCGUAGAUAUGCGGAGGAACACCGAUGGCGAAGGCAAUCCCCUGGGCCUGCACUGACGCUCAUGCACGAAAGCGUGGGGAGCAAACAGGAUUAGAAACCCCAGUAGUCC